Molecule: ribosomal RNA, 1372 nt
Filed under: uncultured bacterium
Lineage: Bacteria
Description: bacterial SSU rRNA
Rfam family: Bacterial small subunit ribosomal RNA
Source: RNAcentral
GAUGAACGCUGGCGGCGUGCCUAAUACAUGCAAGUCGAGCGAACGGACGAGAAGCUUGCUUCUCUGAUGUUAGCGGCGGACGGGUGAGUAACACGUGGAUAACCUACCUAUAAGACUGGGAUAACUUCGGGAAACCGGAGCUAAUACCGGAUAAUAUUUUGAACCGCAUGGUUCAAAAGUGAAAGACGGUCUUGCUGUCACUUAUAGAUGGAUCCGCGCUGCAUUAGCUAGUUGGUAAGGUAACGGCUUACCAAGGCAACGAUGCAUAGCCGACCUGAGAGGGUGAUCGGCCACACUGGAACUGAGACACGGCCCAGACUCCUACGGGAGGCAGCAGUAGGGAAUCUUCCGCAAUGGGCGAAAGCCUGACGGAGCAACGCCGCGUGAGUGAUGAAGGUCUUCGGAUCGUAAAACUCUGUUAUUAGGGAAGAACAUAUGUGUAAGUAACUGUGCACAUCUUGACGGUACCUAAUCAGAAAGCCACGGCUAACUACGUGCCAGCAGCCGCGGUAAUACGUAGGUGGCAAGCGUUAUCCGGAAUUAUUGGGCGUAAAGCGCGCGUAGGCGGUUUUUUAAGUCUGAUGUGAAAGCCCACGGCUCAACCGUGGAGGGUCAUUGGAAACUGGAAAACUUGAGUGCAGAAGAGGAAAGUGGAAUUCCAUGUGUAGCGGUGAAAUGCGCAGAGAUAUGGAGGAACACCAGUGGCGAAGGCGACUUUCUGGUCUGUAACUGACGCUGAUGUGCGAAAGCGUGGGGAUCAAACAGGAUUAGAUACCCUGGUAGUCCACGCCGUAAACGAUGAGUGCUAAGUGUUAGGGGGUUUCCGCCCCUUAGUGCUGCAGCUAACGCAUUAAGCACUCCGCCUGGGGAGUACGACCGCAAGGUUGAAACUCAAAGGAAUUGACGGGGACCCGCACAAGCGGUGGAGCAUGUGGUUUAAUUCGAAGCAACGCGAAGAACCUUACCAAAUCUUGACAUCCUUUGACAACUCUAGAGAUAGAGCUUUCCCCUUCGGGGGACAAAGUGACAGGUGGUGCAUGGUUGUCGUCAGCUCGUGUCGUGAGAUGUUGGGUUAAGUCCCGCAACGAGCGCAACCCUUAAGCUUAGUUGCCAUCAUUAAGUUGGGCACUCUAAGUUGACUGCCGGUGACAAACCGGAGGAAGGUGGGGAUGACGUCAAAUCAUCAUGCCCCUUAUGAUUUGGGCUACACACGUGCUACAAUGGACAAUACAAAGGGCAGCGAAACCGUGAGGUCAAGCAAAUCCCAUAAAGUUGUUCUCAGUUCGGAUUGUAGUCUGCAACUCGACUACAUGAAGCUGGAAUCGCUAGUAAUCGUAGAUCAGCAUGCUACGGUGAAUACGUUCCCGGGUCU